This 304-nucleotide long non-coding RNA is filed under the name Ananas comosus (pineapple). Its description in RNAcentral is "long non-coding RNA (ACOM_LNC028696)". The record is from RNAcentral. Lineage: Eukaryota; Viridiplantae; Streptophyta; Magnoliopsida; Poales; Bromeliaceae.
AAAAAAAAAGAAAAAAAACAAGAAAAGAAACAAUUUUAUGGGGGUGUUUGGCCUAACUUUUAAAAAGAGCUUUUGAAUUGAAAAGUGAUUUUCGGCUCAAUAGAACGUCUGGCAACUUCACUCUUAAAAUAUGAUUCUGCUUUUUAGAAUCAGAAAAUUAAUUUUGAAGGCCCCAGAAUUAGAAGCAGAAAAAACCUGCUUCUUGAAAUCUGAUUCUGAAUUUAGCCAAACGCUCUACAGCUUUUAACCGAAAUUAUUUUUUCAUAAAUCAUUUUUUCAGAAGCUAGACCAAACAUGCCCUAUU